RNAcentral lists this long non-coding RNA (646 nucleotides) under Homo sapiens (human). Its description in RNAcentral is "non-protein coding lnc-PEX11A-1:1". Lineage: Eukaryota; Metazoa; Chordata; Mammalia; Primates; Hominidae. The record is from RNAcentral.
AGAAAGUGUGCCCGCCCCCUCUGGGGCGGAGAGACUCAGCCCCUCCCCCUCAGCGGAUAACCUGGGACUGACCGUUCCCUGGGGAUCCGACGGGCCCCAGAGGACCCACGCCUGAGCCCCGUGCGACUCGUGGCCUUUGGGCUAGAAGCCAUGGACGCCUUCACCCGCUUCACCAACCAGACCCAGGGCCGGGACCGACUCUUCAGACAAAAUUGACUUGUGUCUGUGAGUGUGUUCUGGGAAGAGAGAAGAGUUAAACAUAAGGCAAUCCAUCAGAUAAUCCUCAAUCAGCCUACACAGUUGGUACAGCGAGCUCUGGGCUAGAAGAUCCAGGCUGAGGAGGAGGAUGGAGAAAGAUUGAGAUGUAGAGCCUCUGGGUUGAGAGGGACCUCUGAAAUGAACUCAUCUAGACUGCUGCCAUGGAGAUGGUGCUCUACAGUAGCCCUGUCAAUCGCUGGCUGGCUUCUGCCUAGGUAAAAAAAAAAAAAAAAACUAGCCGGGCGUGGUGGUGGGCGCCUGUAAUCCCAGCUACUUGGGAGGCUGAGGCAGGAGAAUCCCUUGAACCCGGGAGGCGGAGGUUGUAGUGAGCCGAGAUUGUGCAACUACACUCCAGCCUGGGCAACAGAGCAAGAAUCCAUCUCAAAAA